Small nucleolar RNA from Heterocephalus glaber (naked mole-rat), 139 nucleotides. Lineage: Eukaryota; Metazoa; Chordata; Mammalia; Rodentia; Bathyergidae. The record is from Ensembl.
CACACUGUCUGGUGUCUGCACCCAACAGUUUAUUCCUGCUGGUGUGUUCAAAGGACAGUGCAAUAGAAACUCAGUAUCUGGCAAUGAUGGUUUUCUUGGCUUUGUGCAUGUUAUACCUGGUAUUUCAAUUGAUAUGGUA